AAUUAAUAAAAAAAAUUGUGUCGUCUACUUCGUUUUGUGCAAGAAAAACAGCACAACAAAUAAAAUUUCUAAAAUGUGGGCGUCGUGUGAACUCCAUGCUGUUUAGCAGAUUUGAGGCCUGAACCAGUCAUCAUUACAACACGACAUGCAAGUUUUACUUCCGCUGGUAUUGACCUGUCACCACCAACAAUCUCAUCAUUGUCUUCUCUUGGCAUCCAGUUUGAUUGGGAAAAUUCCCAUUUCUUUAAAUCCCCCAUGUCAUCGUGUACAUGUGAGUGUAUUCACGAGGACACCCUUUUCCCUAUCUCGUCUGGUGGAUUCAACUAUUCUGUGGAUGGAGCACCUGUGGAUGCCUGGCCGUAUUUUCCCUGGCUUAAACUUAAAGGUAGGACAAAUUAUACCUAUUCUUCCUUAUUGACUAUUUGAUGGCGUCGAUUUUGAAUCGUGACAUAGUACAGAGAACGAUUACUAUUCCUGAGCUAGGCUAGGCUAUAGACGAUUGAUUGGAACUGUUUUCUCUUUUUACUCAGUAAGGGUUCAUUAAAUUUAAGCAAUGGUCGCUCAUUUGUAGAA
Daphnia pulicaria is the source of this 573-nucleotide long non-coding RNA. RefSeq lists it as uncharacterized. NCBI's taxonomy places the organism in Eukaryota, Metazoa, Arthropoda, Branchiopoda, Diplostraca, Daphniidae. The record is from RefSeq and is a predicted model, not a curated record. The transcript has 3 exons.